Molecule: ribosomal RNA, 500 nt
Filed under: uncultured bacterium
Lineage: Bacteria
Description: partial 16S ribosomal RNA
Rfam family: Bacterial small subunit ribosomal RNA
Source: RNAcentral
AUUGAACGCUGACGGAAUGCUUUACACAUUCAUGUCGAACGGCAGCACGGACUUCGGCCUGCUGGCGAGUGGCGAACGGUCGUGUAAUGUAUGGGAACGUUCCCAGCAGUGGGGGAUAACGUCGUGACAAUUAUGCUAUUACCGUCUACGAUCUAUGGCUGAAAGCGGGGGAACCCAAGACCUUGAGCGUUUGGAGCAGCCAAGAUGAGUUUAGGUAGUUGGUUGGGAAAAUGCCCACCAAGCCAACGAACUGUAGCAGGUCUGAGAGGGCGACCAGCCACACUGGAACUGAGACACGGUCCAUACUCCUACGGGAGGCAGCAGUGGGGAAUUUUUGACAAUGGGCGAAAGCCUGAUCCAGCCAUUCCGCGUGCAGGAUGAAGGACCUCGGGUUGUAAACUGCUUUUGUACAGAACGAAAAGGUUUCUACUAAUACUAGGAGCUCAUGACGGUACUGUAAGAAUAAGCACCGGCUAACUACGUGCCAGCCGCCGCCGUAA